CCAGCACCCCGAGUGGUCGGGACGAUUAUUGGGCCUAAAGCAUCCGUAGCCGGUUUUACAAGUCCUCCGUUAAAUCCAACUGCUUAACAGAUGGGCCGCGGAGGAUACUAUAAAACUAGGAGGCAGGAGAGGCAAGCGGUACUCAGUGGGUAGGGGUAAAAUCCGUUGAUCCAUUGAAGACCACCAGUGGCGAAGGCGGCUUGCCAGAAUGCGCUCGACGGUGAGGGAUGAAAGCUGGGGGAGCAAACCGGAUUAGAUACCCGGGUAGUCCCAGCUGUAAACGAUGCAGACUCGGUGAUGGACUAGCUUUAUGCUAGUCCAGUGCCGCAGGGAAGCCGUUAAGUCUGCCGCCUGGGUAGUACGGUCGCAAGACUG
Molecule: ribosomal RNA, 375 nt
Filed under: uncultured organism
Description: bacterial SSU rRNA
Rfam family: Archaeal small subunit ribosomal RNA
Source: RNAcentral